GGUAGUCCACCCCGUAAACGUUGGGAACUAGUUGUGGGGACCAUUCCACGGUUUCCGUGACGCGGCUAACGCAUUAAGUUCCCCGCCUGGGGAGUACGGCCGCAAGGCUAAAACUCAAAGGAAUUGACGGGGACCCGCACAAGCGGCGGAGCAUGCGGAUUAAUUCGAUGCAACGCGAAGAACCUUACCAAGGCUUGACAUACACCAGAACGGGCCAGAAAUGGUCAACUCUUUGGACACUGGUGAACAGGUGGUGCAUGGUUGUCGUCAGCUCGUGUCGUGAGAUGUUGGGUUAAGUCCCGCAACGAGCGCAACCCUCGUUCUAUGUUGCCAGCACGUAAUGGUGGGAACUCAUGGGAUACUGCCGGGGUCAACUCGGAGGAAGGUGGGGAUGACGUCAAAUCAUCAUGCCCCUUAUGUCUUGGGCUUCACGCAUGCUACAAUGGCCGGUACAAAGGGCUGCAAUACCGUGAGGUGGAGCGAAUCCCAAAAAGCCGGUCCCAGUUCGGAUUGAGGUCUGCAACUCGACCUCAUGAAGUCGGAGUCGCUAGUAAUCGCAGAUCAGCAACGCUGCGGUGAAUACGUUCCCGGGUCUUGUACACACCGCCCGUCAAGUCAUGAAAGUCGGUAACACCUGAAGCCGGUGGCCCAACCCUUGUGGAGGGAGCCGUCGAAGGUGGGAUCGGUAAUUAGGACUAAGUCGUAACAAGGUAGCCGUACCGGAAGGUGC
This 730-nucleotide ribosomal RNA is filed under the name uncultured bacterium. RNAcentral's name for it is "bacterial SSU rRNA". It matches the Rfam family "Bacterial small subunit ribosomal RNA", at positions 789 to 1515 of the family's 1533-position model. The record is from RNAcentral.